This is a non-coding RNA of Podarcis lilfordi (Lilford's wall lizard), 71 nucleotides long. NCBI's taxonomy places the organism in Eukaryota, Metazoa, Chordata, Lepidosauria, Squamata, Lacertidae. The record is from the annotation of a GenBank genome assembly.
GCCUGGAUAGCCAGUUGGUUACAGUAUGGUGCUGAUAACGUCAAGGUUGUGGGUUCGAUCCCCAUAUGGUA